UAGGGAAUCUUCGGCAAUGGACGAAAGUCUGACCGAGCAACGCCGCGUGAGUGAAGAAGGUUUUCGGAUCGUAAAACUCUGUUGUUAGAGAAGAACAAGGACGUUAGUAACUGAACGUCCCCUGACGGUAUCUAACCAGAAAGCCACGGCUAACUACGUGCCAGCAGCCGCGGUAAUACGUAGGUGGCAAGCGUUGUCCGGAUUUAUUGGGCGUAAAGCGAGCGCAGGCGGUUUCUUAAGUCUGAUGUGAAAGCCCCCGGCUCAACCGGGGAGGGUCAUUGGAAACUGGGAGACUUGAGUGCAGAAGAGGAGGGUGGAAUUCCAUGUGUAGCGGUGAUAUGCGUAGAUAUAUGGAGGAACACCAGUGGCGAAGGCGGCUCUCUGGUCUGUAACUGACGCUGAGGCUCGAAAGCGUGGGGAGCAAACAGG
Molecule: ribosomal RNA, 429 nt
Filed under: Gemmatimonadota bacterium
Lineage: Bacteria; Pseudomonadati; Gemmatimonadota
Description: Gemmatimonadetes bacterium partial 16S ribosomal RNA
Rfam family: Bacterial small subunit ribosomal RNA
Source: RNAcentral